GUGUGAAGGGGGGAUCGCAGGACCUUGCGCUUUAGGAGCGGCCGAUGUCGGAUUAGCUAGUUGGUGAGGUAAAGGCUCACCAAGGCGACGAUCCGUAGCGGGUCUGAGAGGAUGAUCCGCCACACUGGGACUGAGACACGGCCCAGACUCCUACGGGAGGCAGCAGUGGGGAAUUUUGGACAAUGGGCGCAAGCCUGAUCCAGCCAUGCCGCGUGAGUGAAGAAGGCCUUCGGGUUGUAAAGCUCUUUUGUCGGGAAAGAAAUCUCACUUUUUAAUACCCAGUGUGGAUGACGGUACCCGAAUAAGAAGCACCGGCUAACUACGUGCCAGCAGCC
Molecule: ribosomal RNA, 335 nt
Filed under: uncultured bacterium
Lineage: Bacteria
Description: bacterial SSU rRNA
Rfam family: Bacterial small subunit ribosomal RNA
Source: RNAcentral